Molecule: ribosomal RNA, 494 nt
Filed under: uncultured bacterium
Lineage: Bacteria
Description: partial 16S ribosomal RNA
Rfam family: Bacterial small subunit ribosomal RNA
Source: RNAcentral
GACGAACGCUGGCGGCGCGCUUAACACAUGCAAGUCGAACGGAAAGGCCUGCUUUCCCUUGUGGAUUGCGGGUACUCGAGUGGCGAACGGGUGAGUAACACGUGAGUGAUCUGCCCCCAACUUGGGUAUAAGCCUGGGAAACUGGGUCUAAUUCCCGAUAGGACUGCAGGGUGGUGCCUGUGGUGGAAAACGAUUUUCUAGUGGUUGGGGAUGAGCUCGCGGCCUAUCAGCUUGUUGGUGGGGUAAUGGCCUACCAAGGCGGCGACGGGUAGCCGGCCUGAGAGGGUGGACGGCCACAUUGGGACUGAGAUACGGCCCAGACUCCUACGGGAGGCAACAGUGGGGAAUAUUGCACAAUGGGCGGAAGCCUGAUGCAGCGACGCCGCGUGGGGGAUGACGGCCUUCGGGUUGUAAACUCCUUUCGACCGCGAGGAAGCCACCUGGUUGGAAGGGUGGUGACGGUAGUGGUAGAAGAAGCACCGGCUAACUACGUG